This 450-nucleotide ribosomal RNA is filed under the name uncultured bacterium. Its description in RNAcentral is "SSU rRNA". It matches the Rfam family "Bacterial small subunit ribosomal RNA", at positions 26 to 518 of the family's 1533-position model. The record is from RNAcentral.
AGAGCGAACGCUGGCGGCAUGCUUAACACAUGCAAGUCGCACGGGCAGGGGUAACUCUGUCAGUGGCGGACGGGUGAGUAACGCGUAGGUAUCUAUCUCUGGGUGGGGGACAACUGUGGGAAACUACAGCUAAUACCGCAUGACACCUGAGGGUCAAAGGCGCAAGUCGCCUGGAGAGGAGCCUGCGUACGAUUAGCUAGUUGGUGGGGUAAAGGCCUACCAAGGCGACGAUCGUUAGCUGGUCUGAGAGGAUGAUCAGCCACAUUGGGACUGAGACACGGCCCAAACUCCUACGGGAGGCAGCAGUGGGGAAUAUUGGACAAUGGGCGAAAGCCUGAUCCAGCAAUGCCGCGUGUGUGAAGAAGGUCUUCGGAUUGUAAAGCACUUUCGACGGGGACGAUGAUGACGGUACCGUAGAAGAAGCCCGGCUAACUUCGCGCCAGCAGCCGC